This 525-nucleotide ribosomal RNA is filed under the name uncultured bacterium. RNAcentral's name for it is "bacterial SSU rRNA". It matches the Rfam family "Bacterial small subunit ribosomal RNA", at positions 984 to 1509 of the family's 1533-position model. The record is from RNAcentral.
ACAUCCAGAGAACUUAGCAGAGAUGCUUUGGUGCCUUCGGGAACUCUGAGACAGGUGCUGCAUGGCUGUCGUCAGCUCGUGUUGUGAAAUGUUGGGUUAAGUCCCGNAACGAGCGCAACCCUUAUCCUUUGUUGCCAGCGGCUCGGCCGGGAACUCAAAGGAGACUGCCGGUGAUAAACCGGAGGAAGGUGGGGAUGACGUCAAGUCAUCGUGGCCCUUACGGCCAGGGCUACACACGUGCUACAAUGGCGCAUACAAAGAGAAGCGACCUCGCGAGAGCAAGCGGACCUCAUAAAGUGCGUCGUAGUCCGGAUUGGAGUCUGCAACUCGACUCCAUGAAGUCGGAAUCGCUAGUAAUCGUAGAUCAGAAUGCUACGGUGAAUACGUUCCCGGGCCUUGUACACACCGCCCGUCACACCAUGGGAGUGGGUUGCAAAAGAAGUAGGUAGCUUAACCUUCGGGAGGGCGCUUACCACUUUGUGAUUCAUGACUGGGGUGAAGUCGUAACAAGGUAGGCGUAGCGAG